UGCCAAAGGAGACUUGCCCAG
This 21-nucleotide microRNA is filed under the name Oryza sativa (Asian cultivated rice). Its description in RNAcentral is "osa-miR399h". Its record names the gene osa-miR399h. The record is from miRBase by way of RNAcentral. RNAcentral also lists the same sequence under 2 other names. Lineage: Eukaryota; Viridiplantae; Streptophyta; Magnoliopsida; Poales; Poaceae.